GCAUAUCAAUAAGCGGAGGAAAAGAAAAUAACCAUGAUUCCCCUAGUAACUGCGAGUGAAGAGGGACAAGCUCAAAUUUUAAAUCUGUUAGGUUUUCACCUGACCGAGUUGUAAUUUGAAGAGGUGUUUUCCGCGUUUUUGGUCAGUCCAAGUCCUUUGGAAUGAGGCAUCAUGGAGGGUGAGAAUCCCGUUCGGCUGAUCAGAUUCGUUUUACGAUACACCUUCAAAGAGUCAAGUUGUUUGGGAUUGCAGCUUAAAAUGGGAGGUAAAUUUCUCCUAAGGCUAAAUACCGGCGAGAGACCGAUAGCGAACAAGUACCGUGAGGGAAAGAUGAAAAGAACUUUGAAAAGAGAGUUAAAUAGUACGUGAAAUUGUUGAAAGGGAAACGAUUGAAGUCAGUCGUACCGGCGGGAAAUCAGCUUCUCGAGUGGGGGUUCGCGGGUGCGUGGAGCUUCGGCCUUCGUUGCUUGUGACACCUUUUGCUUCUGGAGCGUACUUUUCCGUGUGGUAGGUCAACAUCGGUUUUGAUUGCCAUAAAAUGACCGGAGGAAUGUGGCUUCGAUCUUGUAUUGGAGUGUUAUAGCCUCUGGUAGAUGUGGUGGUUGGGAUCGAGGAUUGCAACGAAUACCCUUUGGGCUAUCCGCCUGACCUCUGAAAGUCGCUUGGGUACCGAAAGCUUGCUUACGGUCAUUCAAGUUGGCGGUCAAAAGGUUAGAACGUGAUUAAAUUCGUUAAGGAUGUUGACGUA
Molecule: ribosomal RNA, 748 nt
Filed under: uncultured Glomerales
Lineage: Eukaryota; Fungi; Glomeromycota; Glomeromycetes; Glomerales; Glomeraceae
Description: LSU rRNA
Rfam family: Eukaryotic large subunit ribosomal RNA
Source: RNAcentral